This 492-nucleotide ribosomal RNA is filed under the name uncultured bacterium. Its description in RNAcentral is "partial 16S ribosomal RNA". It matches the Rfam family "Bacterial small subunit ribosomal RNA", at positions 29 to 507 of the family's 1533-position model. The record is from RNAcentral.
AGUGAACGCUGGCGGUAGGCCUAACACAUGCAAGUCGAACGGCAGCACAGUAAGAGCUUGCUCUUACGGGUGGCGAGUGGCGGACGGGUGAGGAAUACAUCGGAAUCUACUUUUUCGUGGGGGAUAACGUAGGGAAACUUACGCUAAUACCGCAUACGACCUACGGGUGAAAGCAGGGGAUCUUCGGACCUUGCGCGAUUGAAUGAGCCGAUGUCGGAUUAGCUAGUUGGCGGGGUAAAGGCCCACCAAGGCGACGAUCCGUAGCUGGUCUGAGAGGAUGAUAAGCCACACUGGAACUGAGACACGGUCCAGACUCCCACGGGAGGCAGCAGUGGGGAAUAUUGGACAAUGGGCGCAAGCCUGAUCCAGCCAUACCGCGUGGGUGAAGAAGGCCUUCGGGUUGUAAAGCCCUUUUGUUGGGAAAGAAAAGCAGCAGGUUAAUACCCCGCUGUUCUGACGGUACCCAAAGAAUAAGCACCGGCUAACUUCGUG